UGGGAUGUAGUUCAGUGGUAGAGUGCAUGUUUGUCAUGCACAAGGCCCUGAGUUUGAUCCCCAGCACUUCAA
RNAcentral lists this transfer RNA (72 nucleotides) under Fukomys damarensis (Damara mole-rat). It matches the Rfam family "tRNA". Rfam says of the family: Transfer RNA (tRNA) molecules are approximately 80 nucleotides in length. Their secondary structure includes four short double-helical elements and three loops (D, anti-codon, and T loops). Further hydrogen bonds mediate the characteristic L-shaped molecular structure. tRNAs have two regions of fundamental functional importance: the anti-codon, which is responsible for specific mRNA codon recognition, and the 3' end, to which the tRNAs corresponding amino acid is attached (by aminoacyl-tRNA synthetases). tRNAs cope with the degeneracy of the genetic code in two manners: having more than one tRNA (with a specific anti-codon) for a particular amino acid; and 'wobble' base-pairing, i.e. permitting non-standard base-pairing at the 3rd anti-codon position. The record is from Rfam by way of RNAcentral. Lineage: Eukaryota; Metazoa; Chordata; Mammalia; Rodentia; Bathyergidae.